This 489-nucleotide ribosomal RNA is filed under the name uncultured bacterium. Its description in RNAcentral is "bacterial SSU rRNA". It matches the Rfam family "Bacterial small subunit ribosomal RNA", at positions 28 to 513 of the family's 1533-position model. The record is from RNAcentral.
GAUGAACGCUAGCGGCAGGCCUAAUACAUGCAAGUCGAGGGGCAGCACGGUAGCAAUACUGGUGGCGACCGGCGCACGGGUGCGUAACGCGUAUGCAACUUACCCUUUACAGGGAGAUAGCCCGGAGAAAUUCGGAUUAAUAUCCCAUAGUAUAUAGAUUUGGCAUCAGAUUUAUAUUAAAGAUUUAUCGGUAAAGGAUGGGCAUGCGUGUCAUUAGCUAGUUGGUGAGGUAAUGGCUCACCAAGGCGACGAUGACUAGGGGUACUGAGAGGUUACACCCCCACACUGGUACUGAGACACGGACCAGACUCCUACGGGAGGCAGCAGUAAGGAAUAUUGGACAAUGGGCGAGAGCCUGAUCCAGCCAUGCCGCGUGCAGGAUGACGGUCCUAUGGAUUGUAAACUGCUUUUGUAUGGGAAUAAACCCAGAUACGUGUAUCUGGCUGAAUGUACCAUAAGAAUAAGGAUCGGCUAACUACCGUGCCAGCA